Molecule: long non-coding RNA, 230 nt
Filed under: Gallus gallus (chicken)
Lineage: Eukaryota; Metazoa; Chordata; Aves; Galliformes; Phasianidae
Source: RNAcentral
AAAUGAUGUUCAGAUACUUUAAAAAAGAAAAAGUUGGACCAGCUUGAACAGCAGUAUGUUCGAGUCUAUGAAUGGAAAAGUUCUCUGCAAGAGAAUAAAUAUUAAGUUUCUGAAAACUGUCUCCUGAAAAUAACUAAUAGUAGCUGAAAUCUUUUGAGAUGAGAGGGGAAAAAGAACUUACUUCAUUUAAAUUACAUACUACAGAGUCAUCAAAUUGUUGAGGUUAGCAG